GAUGAACGCUGGCGGCGUGCCUAAUACAUGCAAGUCGAGCGAACGGACGAGAAGCUUGCUUCUCUGAUGUUAGCGGCGGACGGGUGAGUAACACGUGGAUAACCUACCUAUAAGACUGGGAUAACUUCGGGAAACCGGAGCUAAUACCGGAUAAUAUUUUGAACCGCAUGGUUCAAAAGUAAAAGACGGUCUUGCUGUCACUUAUAGAUGGAUCCGCGCUGCAUUAGCUAGUUGGUAAGGUAACGGCUUACCAGGGCAACGAUGCAUAGCCGACCUGAGAGGGUGAUCGGCCACACUGGAACUGAGACACGGUCCAGACUCCUACGGGAGGCAGCAGUAGGGAAUCUUCCGCAAUGGGCGAAAGCCUGACGGAGCAACGCCGCGUGAGUGAUGAAGGUCUUCGGAUCGUAAAACUCUGUUAUUAGGGAAGAACAUAUGUGUAAGUAACUGUGCACAUCUUGACGGUACCUAAGCAGAAAGCCACGGCUAACUACGU
RNAcentral lists this ribosomal RNA (496 nucleotides) under uncultured bacterium. RNAcentral's name for it is "partial 16S ribosomal RNA". It matches the Rfam family "Bacterial small subunit ribosomal RNA", at positions 28 to 506 of the family's 1533-position model. The record is from RNAcentral.